CCUACGGGCGGCUGCAGUGAGGAAUAUUGGUCAAUGGGCGAGAGCCUGAACCAGCCAAGUCGCGUGAGGGAGUACUGCCCUCUGGGUUGUAAACCUCUUUUGUCGGGGAGCACAAGCCGGACGUGUCCGGCUGUGAGAGUAACCGAAGAAAAAGCAUCGGCAAACACCGUGCAAGCAGCCGCGGCAAUACGGAGGAGGCGAGCGUUAUCCGGAUUUUUUGGGGUUAAAGGGUGCGCAGGCGGAUUUUUAAGUCUGCGGUAAAUUCGAGGGGCUCAACCCCAUCCAGCCGUUGAAACUGGGGAUCUAGAGUGUGCGAGAGGUAUGCGGAAUUCGAGGUGUAGCGGUGAAAUGCAUAGA
RNAcentral lists this ribosomal RNA (357 nucleotides) under uncultured bacterium. Its description in RNAcentral is "partial 16S ribosomal RNA". It matches the Rfam family "Bacterial small subunit ribosomal RNA", at positions 338 to 694 of the family's 1533-position model. The record is from RNAcentral.